RNAcentral lists this small RNA (48 nucleotides) under Arabidopsis thaliana (thale cress). RNAcentral's name for it is "ATSL018840". The record is from RNAcentral. Lineage: Eukaryota; Viridiplantae; Streptophyta; Magnoliopsida; Brassicales; Brassicaceae.
GAACGCGAAUUGUCCCGAUUCUACAUCUUCCGCGUGAUGAUACGUGUU